Molecule: ribosomal RNA, 253 nt
Filed under: uncultured bacterium
Lineage: Bacteria
Also listed under: 1 other name
Description: partial 16S ribosomal RNA
Rfam family: Bacterial small subunit ribosomal RNA
Source: RNAcentral
UACGGAGGGUGCAAGCGUUGUCCGGAUUUAUUGGGUUUAAAGGGUGCGCAGGUGGGUAUUUAAGUCUGGUUUGAAAGCAGGUGGCUCAACCAUCUGAUGUGGCUGGAAACUGGAUAUCUUGAAUGGGUUGGCGGUAGCCGGAAUGGGUCAUGUAGCGGUGAAAUGCAUAGAUAUGACCCGGAACACCGAUUGCGAAGGCAGGCUACUACGACUUGAUUGACACUGAGGCACGAGAGCAUGGGUAGCGAACAGG